GAUGAACGCUGGCGGCGUGCCUAACACAUGCAAGUCGAGCGGUAUAUAUUGGAAUGAAACUUCGGUCGAGUGAAGAUAUAGAGAGCGGCGGACGGGUGAGUAACGCGUGGGCAACCUGCCUCAUACAGAGGGAUAGCCUCGGGAAACCGGGAUUAAAACCUCAUAAAGCCAUUGAUUCACAUGUUUCGAUGGCCAAAGAUUUAUCGGUAUGAGAUGGGCCUGCGUCUGAUUAGCUGGUUGGUGAGGUAACGGCCACCAAGGCAACGAUCAGUAGCCGACCUGAGAGGGUAAUCGGCCACAUUGGAACUGAGACACGGUCCAAACUCCUACGGGAGGCAGCAGUGGGGAAUAUUGCACAAUGGGCGAAAGCCUGAUGCAGCAACGCCGCGUGAGCGAUGAAGGCCUUUGGGUCGUAAAGCUCUGUCCUAGGGGAAGAUAAUGACGGUACCCUGGGAGGAAGCCCCGGGCUAACGUACGUGCCAGCAGCCGAC
Molecule: ribosomal RNA, 491 nt
Filed under: uncultured bacterium
Lineage: Bacteria
Description: bacterial SSU rRNA
Rfam family: Bacterial small subunit ribosomal RNA
Source: RNAcentral